UGCGGGGCUUAAUACCUAGGUGAUGGAUCGAUAGGUGCAGCAAACCACCAUGGCACACGUUUACCUGUGUAACAAACCUGCACAUGUACCCCGGAACUUAAAUAAAAUAAAAUUUAAAGAAAAGAAAAAGAAUAGUAGUCACUCCUUUUUCCUAGAAGCUGGCCCCAGUUGUGCGUGUGUGUGUGUGUGUAUGCACAUGUGUGUGUGUGCAUGCAUGUGCACAUGUAUGUGAGAGUAGGGUAUUGGGUUUGUGCAUGACUGCUUGGCACAGGACUAGCUGCAAAUUAUUCUAAUUGCAGAGAAAGGGGCUCAACACUAUGGGCACUUUGGGGGUGCUUCUGGGUUCCUAGAACAUGAGAUUUCCUUUCCAGCUCUCUCCCACCUCAGAGCCCACUGCUUCUCUGGCAAGCUAGCCUGGAACUGGCAAGCGAGAUACUCAGGGAAAGUUGUGGCUCAACUGAGAGUCAUAGCAACCCCAUUCUCAGUCCAGGGUGUUGCAGACUGUCUUCCCAGACUUGUCCAGUCUGGGUCAGGUAAACAGCACGGUGCUGGAAGCCAGGGGUCUAUCCCCACCGCUAUUACCUUGCGUUUAUAACAGGCUUUCAGCCUUAUUCUCCAGGCAACCAUCCAACUGGUUGAUCUCACAACAUCCCAUUCAGAGGAAGGGCAGAGAUCUUUAGCGCCACUGGACAGGAGAGAAACCAGAGAAGCUUCAGCUCCUCAAGGGUGGGGACUACACCCUGCCCAUCUUUGUCAGCCAUGAGACGCUCUGCACACGGUGGGUAUAGUCAAAGUCCAUGGGCGCCCUGGCCCAGUGCCCAGCGCUUGCAACUUGUGCCAUCCCUACUUAACAACCUCUAUCCUUUGGGUGUCCCCAUAGGGACAGAGAACUGCAUUUUCUGAGGCCUUUCAUAGACUUGAGGGUCCAGCAACACUCCUCCCUCACCUGGGGAACCCCUUAGGUAAAGGCUUUUUGGCUGGAUUUGGUAGGUCUGGAGUGUGGGGAAGGGGUCUGGCUCACUGCUGGUCCCAGCAGGGAUGCUGGCCCAGUUCCCUCAUUCCCCUUCAAUUACCUGUAGGCAGUGGCCCACCCACCUGGGUGUUUGUGAAGGCCCCAGAUACUCAGGCUCGCGGUCCCUCAGAGCAAAGGGUCAGUCGCACAUAUCCGUGAGGGAGAUUAUUUUAUCUCUUUACCCACCUCUUCCCAUUUGCACAGGAGGAUUCAAUGUUCUGCCUGGGUGCAAACCCCCGUCAGAGUGGGAAGUUUUGCUUUUUGAUCUCUGGGUGAAAGCUGCCUGCAGGCUGCCAAGUGGCAAAGGAUCCAGGAAAAGGCACAGGACUGGAAAGCGCUACCCAGCAAUCUGUGUAUUCUGCAAUUAACAAAGGUUGGGGAGAGGAGGAAUGGCCACUGAGGUGGGUGGAAUGAAGCCCGUGGGAAGUGGAAGAAGGAGGCGCAGAUGUGAGCCCUCCUGGGAGAGCUGUUGUGAAGGUGCAAUUAGGAAACGGAAUAUUCUAAGGUCCCGCAGCGCGGUCCAAGUGUAAGAGUCAUUACUGGGCUGAGCUCCUCGCUGGACCCUGGAGGGAAAGGAUCGGUGGCUGCCGGGGAGUAGACGGCGUGGGGGCUGAGGAUGGGGAUGCUGCCUCCGUCCACCCUUGGAGCCCCAGGAGCCCAUCCUGCGAAGUCCCCUGGCAGGGCCAGCCUCCUGAGGCUGAUGGCUGUGCCGUGGGCUUGGAGGUUACUCAGCUGUGAAUGUUGGGCCUGCCCCGCUGGGCCUACACUCAGCCAGGGUGCACAGAGCGAGUGGCACAUCAUGUUUAUUAAUAACCCUUGAUGAGGAGCAUUAAUAGCUCCUAAUGACACCAUCUGAGUCUGGCCUCCUUCCGUCUCUCGCUGCUCACUCCUUCCUCUUUCCCUCCAUCUCUUGAAGACACACGAUCCCACAGACAGACAGACACAGGCGGGCUCGGCUCAGGAGAGCAAGUCA
This is a long non-coding RNA of Symphalangus syndactylus (siamang), 1985 nucleotides long. RefSeq lists it as uncharacterized. NCBI's taxonomy places the organism in Eukaryota, Metazoa, Chordata, Mammalia, Primates, Hylobatidae. The record is from RefSeq and is a predicted model, not a curated record.